Molecule: non-coding RNA, 420 nt
Organism: Lonchura striata (white-rumped munia)
Lineage: Eukaryota; Metazoa; Chordata; Aves; Passeriformes; Estrildidae
Source: RefSeq, a predicted model, not a curated record
GAAGGUGGAUGUAAGGCUGUCAGCAGUAUGCACAGAUCUGUGUCCACACUUCACUGAUGUGCCUUUUAACAGGUCCUGGAACAAACCCUAAGGUCAGAGACCAGCAAAUCUGGCUCAGCUCUUUGCCCUUCAACAGCAAUGAAAACUGCACUGGGGUGGGGGGAUUUCUAGGGAAUGAAGGGCAGCUGAGCAGUUGGACUUUCCUAUAAAAGGAGACUAUGGGGGUAGAUCAUCUGGAAGACUUGGAGAUGAGUUUUGUUAUGGCAAGGGUUUCUGUAGUAGCAAAGGAUGGGAUACUGUGCUCUGGUUUUCCUCAAAGGCCUGAAGACCUGUCUUGGGAACUUCAGAGAAACAGGAAUGGCUGAACUCUAAGUAAAGCAGACGACAGCAGAAAACCCAAGAAGGAGGAAAGCAGAAUUU